CUUAGAAGCAGCCACUCAUUAAAAGAGUGCGUAAUAGCUCACUGGUCGAGUGAUUCUGCGCCGAAAAUUUAACGGGGCUAAACUGUACACCGAAGCUUGGGAUACAUCUAAUGUAUGGUAGGAGAGCGUUGUAUACGGGGUGAAGUCAGAGCGGAAGCGCUGGUGGACUGUAUACAAGUGAGAAUGCCGGAAUGAGUAGCGAGAAUUAUGUGAGAAUCAUAAUGGCCGAAAGACUAAGGUUUUAGAAGGAAGGUUCGUCCGCUUCUAGUCAGCCGGGAGCUAAGGCGAGGCCGAAAGGCGUAGUCGAUGCACAUACGGUGGAGAUUCCGUAGCCGCCAUUAAUUUAAACAGAGGGACACUUUCAAGGGGCAUGACCCGGGCGUUGGUAGACCCGGGCGUAAGGGACCGAAGAUUAGUAGGGAAGCAUGCUUUAAGGAAGGCGAGAAAAGCUCUGUGUAUAGAAGAUGGCGCCCGUACCGCAAACCGACACAGGUAGUCAGGAAGAGAAUUCUAAGGCCAACGGGAGAAGGGUAGUUAAGGAACUCGGCAAAUUGACCCCGUAACUUCGGAAUAAGGGGUGCUCACGAGAGUGAGCCGCAGUGAAUAGGUCCAGGCGACUGUUUAUCAAAAACACAGCUCUCUGCUAAAUCGAAAGAUGACGUAUAGGGGGUGACACCUGCCCGGUGCUGGAAGGUUAAGAGGAAGGGUGCAAGCUCUGAAUUGAAGCCCCAGUAAACGGCGGCCGUAACUAUAACGGUCCUAAGGUAGCGAAAUUCCUUGUCGGGUAAGUUCCGACCCGCACGAAUGGUGUAACGAUCUGGGCACUGUCUCAACUACCCACCCGGCGAAAUUGUAGUACCGGUGAAGAUGCCGGUUACCCGCGGCAAGACGGAGAGACCCCAUGGAGCUUUACUGUAACCUGAUAUUGGGUUUCGGUAUUUUAUGUACAGGAUAGGUGGGAGACUAUGAAACUAAGGCGCCAGCCUUAGCGGAGUCGCCCUUGGGAUACCACUCUUAAAGUACUGAAAUUCUAACCUGCGGCCGUGAAUCCGGUCGGGGGACAUUGUCAGGCGGGCAGUUUGACUGGGGCGGUCGCCUCCAAAAGAGUAACGGAGGCGCUCAAAGGUUCGCUCAGCAUGGUCGGAAACCAUGCCUUAGAGUGUAAACGCAAAAGCGAGCCUAACUGCGAGGCUGACGGGCCGAGCAGUAACGAAAGUUGGAGUUAGUGAUCCGGCGGUAUGUGAAUGGAAAUGCCGUCGCUCAACGGAUAAAAGCUACCCUGGGGAUAACAGGCUGAUCUCCCCCAAGAGUCCACAUCGACGGGGAGGUUUGGCACCUCGAUGUCGGCUCAUCACAUCCUGGGGCUGUAUUCGGUCCCAAGGGUUCGGCUGUUCGCCGAUUAAAGUGGUACGCGAGCUGGGUUCAGAACGUCGUGAGACAGUUCGGUCCCUAUCUGUCGUGGGCGUAGGAUAUUUGAAGAGCGCUGUCCCUAGUACGAGAGGACCGGGAUGGACGCACCGCUGGCGCAUCGGUUGUCAUGCCAAUGGCACGGCCGAGCAACUAUGUGCGGUUUGGAUAAACGCUGAAAGCAUCUAAGCGUGAAGCCAUCUCUAAGAUAAGAUAUCCCAUAGCAUAAGCUAGUAAGACCCCUCAAAGACUAUGAGGUUGAUAGGCUGCGUGUGUAAGUACGGCGACGUAUUUAGCUUGGCAGUACUAAUAGGUCGAGGGCUUGACCU
Molecule: ribosomal RNA, 1736 nt
Filed under: human gut metagenome
Description: bacterial LSU rRNA
Rfam family: Bacterial large subunit ribosomal RNA
Source: RNAcentral